RNAcentral lists this ribosomal RNA (484 nucleotides) under uncultured bacterium. Its description in RNAcentral is "partial 16S ribosomal RNA". It matches the Rfam family "Bacterial small subunit ribosomal RNA", at positions 30 to 507 of the family's 1533-position model. The record is from RNAcentral.
AUUGAACGCUGGCGGCAGGCCUAACACAUGCAAGUCGAGCGGAUGAAGGGAGCUUGCUCCUGGAUUCAGCGGCGGACGGGUGAGUAAUGCCUAGGAAUCUGCCUGGUAGUGGGGGAUAACGUCCGGAAACGGGCGCUAAUACCGCAUACGUCCUGAGGGAGAAAGUGGGGGAUCUUCGGACCUCACGCUAUCAGAUGAGCCUAGGUCGGAUUAGCUAGUUGGUGGGGUAAAGGCCUACCAAGGCGACGAUCCGUAACUGGUCUGAGAGGAUGAUCAGUCACACUGGAACUGAGACACGGUCCAGACUCCUACGGGAGGCAGCAGUGGGGAAUAUUGGACGAUGGGCGAAAGCCUGAUCCAGCCAUGCCGCGUGUGUGAAGAAGGUCUUCGGAUGGUAAAGCACUUUAAGUUGGGAGGAAGGGCAGUAAGUUAAUACCUGGCUGUUUUGACGUUACCAACAGAAUAAGCACCGGCUAACUUCGUG